RNAcentral lists this ribosomal RNA (1700 nucleotides) under Pseudomonas aeruginosa. Its description in RNAcentral is "bacterial LSU rRNA". It matches the Rfam family "Bacterial large subunit ribosomal RNA", at positions 754 to 2439 of the family's 2925-position model. Lineage: Bacteria; Pseudomonadati; Pseudomonadota; Gammaproteobacteria; Pseudomonadales; Pseudomonadaceae. The record is from RNAcentral.
AGGUAACACUGACUGGAGGACCGAACCCACUCCCGUUGAAAAGGUAGGGGAUGACUUGUGGAUCGGAGUGAAAGGCUAAUCAAGCUCGGAGAUAGCUGGUUCUCCUCGAAAGCUAUUUAGGUAGCGCCUCAUGUAUCACUCUGGGGGGUAGAGCACUGUUUCGGCUAGGGGGUCAUCCCGACUUACCAAACCGAUGCAAACUCCGAAUACCCAGAAGUGCCGAGCAUGGGAGACACACGGCGGGUGCUAACGUCCGUCGUGAAAAGGGAAACAACCCAGACCGCCAGCUAAGGUCCCAAAGUUGUGGUUAAGUGGUAAACGAUGUGGGAAGGCUUAGACAGCUAGGAGGUUGGCUUAGAAGCAGCCAUCCUUUAAAGAAAGCGUAAUAGCUCACUAGUCGAGUCGGCCUGCGCGGAAGAUGUAACGGGGCUCAAACCACACACCGAAGCUGCGGGUGUCACGCAAGUGACGCGGUAGAGGAGCGUUCUGUAAGCCUGUGAAGGUGAGUUGAGAAGCUUGCUGGAGGUAUCAGAAGUGCGAAUGCUGACAUGAGUAACGACAAUGGGUGUGAAAAACAUCCACGCCGAAAGACCAAGGGUUCCUGCGCAACGUUAAUCGACGCAGGGUUAGUCGGUUCCUAAGGCGAGGCUGAAAAGCGUAGUCGAUGGGAAACAGGUUAAUAUUCCUGUACUUCUGGUUACUGCGAUGGAGGGACGGAGAAGGCUAGGCCAGCUUGGCGUUGGUUGUCCAAGUUUAAGGUGGUAGGCUGAAAUCUUAGGUAAAUCCGGGGUUUCAAGGCCGAGAGCUGAUGACGAGUCGUCUUUUAGAUGACGAAGUGGUUGAUGCCAUGCUUCCAAGAAAAGCUUCUAAGCUUCAGGUAACCAGGAACCGUACCCCAAACCGACACAGGUGGUCGGGUAGAGAAUACCAAGGCGCUUGAGAGAACUCGGGUGAAGGAACUAGGCAAAAUGGCACCGUAACUUCGGGAGAAGGUGCGCCGGCUAGGGUGAAGGAUUUACUCCGUAAGCUCUGGCUGGUCGAAGAUACCAGGCCGCUGCGACUGUUUAUUAAAAACACAGCACUCUGCAAACACGAAAGUGGACGUAUAGGGUGUGACGCCUGCCCGGUGCCGGAAGGUUAAUUGAUGGGGUUAGCGCAAGCGAAGCUCUUGAUCGAAGCCCCGGUAAACGGCGGCCGUAACUAUAACGGUCCUAAGGUAGCGAAAUUCCUUGUCGGGUAAGUUCCGACCUGCACGAAUGGCGUAACGAUGGCGGCGCUGUCUCCACCCGAGACUCAGUGAAAUUGAAAUCGCUGUGAAGAUGCAGUGUAUCCGCGGCUAGACGGAAAGACCCCGUGAACCUUUACUGUAGCUUUGCACUGGACUUUGAGCCUGCUUGUGUAGGAUAGGUGGGAGGCUUUGAAGCGUGGACGCCAGUUCGCGUGGAGCCAUCCUUGAAAUACCACCCUGGCAUGCUUGAGGUUCUAACUCUGGUCCGUGAUCCGGAUCGAGGACAGUGUAUGGUGGGCAGUUUGACUGGGGCGGUCUCCUCCUAAAGAGUAACGGAGGAGUACGAAGGUGCGCUCAGACCGGUCGGAAAUCGGUCGCAGAGUAUAAAGGCAAAAGCGCGCUUGACUGCGAGACAGACACGUCGAGCAGGUACGAAAGUAGGUCUUAGUGAUCCGGUGGUUCUGUAUGGAAG